Molecule: transfer RNA, 73 nt
Filed under: Stegodyphus mimosarum
Lineage: Eukaryota; Metazoa; Arthropoda; Arachnida; Araneae; Eresidae
Rfam family: tRNA
About the family: Transfer RNA (tRNA) molecules are approximately 80 nucleotides in length.
Source: Rfam by way of RNAcentral
GCCUUCGUGGUGUAGUGUUCAGCACACUGAGCCGGUAUUUCAGAGGUCCGUGGUUCGAUUCCCGGCGAAGGCC